Molecule: ribosomal RNA, 501 nt
Filed under: uncultured bacterium
Lineage: Bacteria
Description: partial 16S ribosomal RNA
Rfam family: Bacterial small subunit ribosomal RNA
Source: RNAcentral
AUUGAACGCUGGCGGAAUGCUUUACACAUGCAAGUCGAACGGCAGCAUAGGUGCUUGCACCUGAUGGCGAGUGGCGAACGGGUGAGUAAUACAUCGGAACGUGCCCAGUCGUGGGGGAUAACGUAGCGAAAGUUACGCUAAUACCGCAUACGAUCUAAGGAUGAAAGCGGGGGACCGUAAGGCCUCGCGCGAUUGGAGCGGCCGAUGUCAGAUUAGGUAGUUGGUGAGGUAAAGGCUCACCAAGCCGACGAUCUGUAGCUGGUCUGAGAGGGGGACCAGCCACACUGGGACUGAGACACGGCCCAGACUCCUACGGGAGGCAGCAGUGGGGAAUUUUGGACAAUGACGCAAGUCUGAUCCAGCCAUUCCGCGUGCAGGACGAAGGCCUUCGGGUUGUAAACUGCUUUUGUACGGAACGAAAAAGCUCUUACUAAUACUAGGAGUCCAUGACGGUACCGUAAGAAUAAGCACCGGCUAACUACGUGCCAGCAGCCGCAGUAA